This 227-nucleotide unclassified non-coding RNA is filed under the name Hevea brasiliensis (rubber tree). The record is from RNAcentral. Lineage: Eukaryota; Viridiplantae; Streptophyta; Magnoliopsida; Malpighiales; Euphorbiaceae.
CGAUUCUACAUCGAGACCGGUGAUGACAAUGCGGUGCCACUCUCUCUCCAGCAGAGCAUGUGCAAUCUGAAUCCGCCGGAAAAAGUUUUCCAGUUGAAAGGAUCUGAUCACUCGCCGUUCUUCUCGAAGCCUCAGGCUCUGCACAAGCUACUCGUCGAGAUUGCAAGGAUUCCGUUACCCCAACUUGAAUGAGGUUCCAAUUACUCAACUCAGGCAAUACAAUCCUG